This 259-nucleotide unclassified non-coding RNA is filed under the name uncultured fungus. RNAcentral describes it as "sequence contains ITS1, 5.8S rRNA gene". The stretch from base 211 to 259 matches the Rfam family "5.8S ribosomal RNA", at positions 1 to 49 of the family's 154-position model. The record is from RNAcentral. Lineage: Eukaryota; Fungi.
UUUCCGUAGGUGAACCUGCGGAAGGAUCAUUAUCCAUCUCAACCAGGAGUGGUGGCGGCCAGGCAUUGCGUCCUCGGUUCAGCCCCGCUUUCCUGCAUCCUUUUUUUACGAGCACCUUUCGUUCUCCUUCGGCGGGGCAACCUGCCGUUGGAACCGAAUAAACCCUUUUUUGCAUCCAGCAUUACCCGUUCCGAAACAAACAAUCGUUACAACUUUCAACAAUGGAUCUCUUGGCUCUGGCAUCGAUGAAGAACGCAGC